CCUACGGGAGGCAGCAGUGGGGAAUAUUGGGCAAUGGGCGCAAGCCUGACCCAGCAACGCCGCGUGAAGGAAGAAGGCUUUCGGGUUGUAAACUUCUUUUCUCAGGGACGAAGCUAGUGACGGUACCCGAGGAAUAAGCCACGGAUAACUACGUGCCAGCAGCCGUGGUAAUACGUAGGUGGCAAGCGUUAUCCGGAUUUACUGGGUGUAAAGGGCGUGUAGGCGGGACUGCAAGUCAGAUGUGAAAACCACGGGCCCAACCUGUGGCCUGCAUUUGAAACUGUAGUUCUUGAGUACUGGAGGGGCAGGCGGAAUUCCUGGUGUAGCGGUGAAAUGCGUAGAUAUUAGGAGGAACACAGGUGGCGAAGGCGGUCUGCUGGACAGCGACUGACGCUGAGGCGCGAAAGCGUGGGGAGCGAACAGGAUUAGAUACCCGAGUAGUC
RNAcentral lists this ribosomal RNA (443 nucleotides) under uncultured bacterium. RNAcentral describes it as "partial 16S ribosomal RNA". It matches the Rfam family "Bacterial small subunit ribosomal RNA", at positions 338 to 795 of the family's 1533-position model. The record is from RNAcentral.